RNAcentral lists this ribosomal RNA (253 nucleotides) under uncultured bacterium. RNAcentral describes it as "partial 16S ribosomal RNA". It matches the Rfam family "Bacterial small subunit ribosomal RNA", at positions 524 to 776 of the family's 1533-position model. The record is from RNAcentral.
GACGAACCGAGCGAACGUUGUUCGGAAUCACUGGGCUUAAAGGGCGCGUAGGCGGGCAUUCAAGUCUGUGGUGAAAUCCUCCAGCUCAACUGGAGAACUGCCAUGGAUACUGGGUGUCUCGAGGGUGGUAGGGGUAUGCGGAACUAUCGGUGGAGCGGUGAAAUGCGUUGAUAUCGAUAGGAACUCCGGUGGCGAAGGCGGCAUACUGGACCACUUCUGACGCUGAGGCGCGAAAGCCAGGGGAGCGAACGGG